UCUCUUCACUUUUUAUGUUAUUUAUAUAGAUUCAAGUAAGAACUCUUAUCUAUUACUAUUAAAUAUAUCUUCUUUGAUGGCGACUGAAGCAAAAAUUGAUUGAAGUAGGAAAAAACCUCCUAUCAUUUAUUGUUCUCUAGAAAAUCUUACAAAGAUUUUCAUUUAAUUUCAAAGAUUAUCACUAAAAAUAAUUUCAAAAAAUUUUAAUGAUAUUAAAAUUUACAUUCAUCA
This 231-nucleotide long non-coding RNA is filed under the name Physcomitrium patens. Its description in RNAcentral is "long non-coding RNA (PPAT_LNC002090)". The record is from RNAcentral. Lineage: Eukaryota; Viridiplantae; Streptophyta; Bryopsida; Funariales; Funariaceae.